AUUUUAACUAUUAAAUUUUGCCCAUCUAUGUUUAAAACGUGUAUUUUAGUCUAAUUUCAUGUUAAGUGCAUGCAUUGAAGCUAAAAGUGAUAAAAAAUAUACCGAAGUGAAAAAACAAGAUAGAUUUAUGUGUUAUUCGUUUUGAGCAACCAUAUUUUACUACUAUUUCAGCCAUUUCUAUUGGUAUGACGUAGUACAUUGUGCGAUUGACAGACUAUAUUUCUGUGCGUGACAAGAAUACUUCUGUAUUACAGGUUACGGCCGUUCAAUGAAAAUUCCUGGCGUAAUAAAACCGGACACGAAGUGACACGGAGCAGAUAAAACUUCAACGAAAUAAGCUAUGUAAAUAAACGCACGCGAAGGGGGAUAAAGAGGAGAAGAGUGGCCAGUGAAACGAGGUCAUUGGUAGCUUUUUCCCCCCCGUUCAUUUUUACGCUCGCCGCCAGCGGAGAAACCCCAGAUUCUUUGCAAUUUUUCAUCUUUAUCCAUUGACAUAGAAGCUCUACCUUAAUGAUGUUCCUGAUGAAUUUUCUUGGAAGCUCAUCCGAUGACUGCUCAUCUCAGAGUAACAGUAUCGUCAACCUACUGGUAUUUGGGCUUUUUCACUAUUAGUUUCAUUUAUUUUCUACAAACGGUGAGUCUUUUAUUUUUUAAUUCCUCCAGUCUCCAACCAUAUCAUAAAAUGAAUGAAUCAAUAUGGAAUGACUGGUUGU
Molecule: long non-coding RNA, 713 nt
Filed under: Apis florea (little honeybee)
Lineage: Eukaryota; Metazoa; Arthropoda; Insecta; Hymenoptera; Apidae
Description: uncharacterized LOC105736593, transcript variant X2
Source: RNAcentral